This 253-nucleotide ribosomal RNA is filed under the name uncultured bacterium. RNAcentral's name for it is "partial 16S ribosomal RNA". It matches the Rfam family "Bacterial small subunit ribosomal RNA", at positions 524 to 776 of the family's 1533-position model. The record is from RNAcentral.
UACGUAGGGUCCGAGCGUUGUCCGGAAUUAUUGGGCGUAAAGAGCGUGUAGGCGGCCAGAUAAGUCCGCUGUGAAAUCUCGAGGCUCAACUUCGAGCUGUCGGUGGAAACUGUCUGGCUAGAGUCCGGAAGAGGAGAAUGGAAUUCCUGGUGUAGCGGUGAAAUGCGCAGAUAUCAGGAAGAACACCCGUGGCGAAGGCGGUUCUCUGGGACGGUACUGACGCUGAGACGCGAAAGCGUGGGGAGCAAACAGG